Molecule: ribosomal RNA, 164 nt
Filed under: Phanera semibifida
Lineage: Eukaryota; Viridiplantae; Streptophyta; Magnoliopsida; Fabales; Fabaceae
Description: 5.8S ribosomal RNA
Rfam family: 5.8S ribosomal RNA
About the family: 5.8S ribosomal RNA (5.8S rRNA) is a component of the large subunit of the eukaryotic ribosome. It is transcribed by RNA polymerase I as part of the 45S precursor that also contains 18S and 28S rRNA.
Source: RNAcentral
AAAAAUGACUCUCGGCAACGGAUAUCUUGGCUCUCGCAUCGAUGAAGAACGUAGCGAAAUGCGAUACUUGGUGUGAAUUGCAGAAUCCCGUGAACCAUCGAGUCUUUGAACGCAAGUUGCGCCCGAAGCCAUUAGGCUGAGAGGCACGUCUGCCUGGGUGUCAA